Molecule: transfer RNA, 71 nt
Filed under: Bos taurus (domestic cattle)
Lineage: Eukaryota; Metazoa; Chordata; Mammalia; Artiodactyla; Bovidae
Also listed under: 2 other names
Rfam family: tRNA
About the family: Transfer RNA (tRNA) molecules are approximately 80 nucleotides in length.
Source: Rfam by way of RNAcentral
UCCCUGGGUCUAGUGGCUAAGUCUCUGCACUCCCACUGCAGGGAGCCCAGGUUCGACCCCUGGUCUGGGAA